GAUGAAGAACGCAGCGAAAUGCGAUAAGUAAUGUGAAUUGCAGAAUUCCGUGAAUCAUCGAAUCUUUGGACGCACAUUGCGCCCUCUGGUAUUCCGGGGGGCAUGCCUGUCCGAGCGUCAUUUGCAACCCUCAAGCCCGGCUUGUGUGAUGGGUGCCGUCCCCUACGGGACGCGCCCCGAAGGCAAUGGCGGCGUCGCGGUUAUCCGAUCAGCCAAAGUGUAUGGGGCUUUGUCACUCACUUUACGGCCCGGACCGGCGCCAGUCCGAAUCAAUCUUUUUUCUAAAGUUGACCUCGGAUCAGGUAGGGAUACCCGCUGAACUUAAGCAUAUCAAUAAGCGGAGGA
RNAcentral lists this unclassified non-coding RNA (345 nucleotides) under soil metagenome. RNAcentral's name for it is "partial contains 5.8S ribosomal RNA, internal transcribed spacer 2, and large subunit ribosomal RNA". The stretch from base 1 to 120 matches the Rfam family "5.8S ribosomal RNA", at positions 35 to 154 of the family's 154-position model. The record is from RNAcentral.